GAGGAUAUAAUAUGGAUGAGAAACUACAAACCAAAAGGAAUAGAGGAGCAAUGGGGAACAACUGAAAACACAGUCAAAUCACACCCAAAACCCUCUAAUUCAAUCCUCUUCUUGACUCCAUUAUUCACAAUUUUUUUUGAAGUUUUUUUUAAUUUUUCUCAUUUUUUUGAUUUUUUUUUCUUUUUUUUUCAUCUUUUCUCUUUUCUUUUCUCUCUUUUCAGAACACAACUCUAAGAGACAAGAUACACAACAUAUUUAC
RNAcentral lists this long non-coding RNA (259 nucleotides) under Vigna radiata. RNAcentral's name for it is "long non-coding RNA (VRAD_LNC015620)". The record is from RNAcentral. Lineage: Eukaryota; Viridiplantae; Streptophyta; Magnoliopsida; Fabales; Fabaceae.